UUCAAAGGGUCAAAGGGGGAGAAGGAAAGCGGACUAGUCUUUGUCUUCAACCAGCUUACUAAAGAGGGUGCCUUACACCAAAGGUUAAGUCUUCAUCAGGCAUCCUGGACGAGCUGAAAAGCCAAACCAAGACACCGCUGCUCCUGCUGCUGCUAGGGCGUAAAGAGGCGGGCUGGCAGCAGAAAGGCCAAAGAAAUCAUACCAUGAAAAAUCAGUAUUUUUCUCCCAAAUAUCAGGAGAACAAUCUGGGAUGCUGAGGGCUGCAACCAUUUUAAGAGGAAUACAGUGGCUCAGUGGCUAAGAUGCUGAGCUUGUCUAU
This is a non-coding RNA of Thamnophis sirtalis, 319 nucleotides long. The record is from RefSeq and is a predicted model, not a curated record. Lineage: Eukaryota; Metazoa; Chordata; Lepidosauria; Squamata; Natricidae.